UCGGAUUGUAGUCUGCAACUCGACUACAUGAAGCUGGAAUCGCUAGUAAUCGCGGAUCAGAAUGCCGCGGUGAAUACGUUCCCGGGUCUUGUACACACCGCCCGUCACACCAUGGGAGUCGGAAAUGCCCGAAGUCUGUGACCCAACCGCAAGGAGGGAGCAGCCGAAGGCAGGUCGGAUGACUGGGGUGAAGUCGUAACAAGGUAAC
This 208-nucleotide ribosomal RNA is filed under the name uncultured bacterium. Its description in RNAcentral is "partial 16S ribosomal RNA". It matches the Rfam family "Bacterial small subunit ribosomal RNA", at positions 1293 to 1500 of the family's 1533-position model. The record is from RNAcentral.